CCCAUAUAGCACAGAAAAUAUUUUCUAAGACCCACUGGCAUGCUGCCUUUUAAAAAAAAACAUAUAUUUUUAUUUUGUUUAAAAAAAAAAACACUCCUUGAGUACAGAGAGUGCGCCAUUUUCUCUAUCCUCACAUCGGUCUUGUUUGAGCUUCACCUUUACCUUAAAUCCACCUGAACAUGAGGGUUGCGUGUGAGUCUGCAUGGAGCCUAAAUAUCUCCUGGUCUCCUGGGCAAAGCCAAGUCACACCUGACACACACCUGCAUGAGACUGGAUUGAAAUGCAAACUACAUCUUCUACAAGGCAAUAGGUGUUCAUGGUUGACUGGAUGGCUUGGAUAUGAUGGAUAUGUUACUGAGCUGAAUCAUCACCAGGUGCUGAUGUAGACUUGAAGACAGGAUGCUAAAAACAUUAAACUAGUUAAGUCUUGCAGGUUUAGCUAUAGACAAGUAGAUAAUAGGAUAAAUAGGAUAAGGAAGAUUAUUUUGUCAUGCAAUGGAAAGUCAAACAUCACUGGACCCCACAGAUUGUCACAGACAUGUUUCAAAAUCUUUUUUGCAUUCAACAUAAAAAUAAAGAUAUA
Long non-coding RNA from Cyprinus carpio carpio, 583 nucleotides. NCBI's taxonomy places the organism in Eukaryota, Metazoa, Chordata, Actinopteri, Cypriniformes, Cyprinidae. The record is from Ensembl.